RNAcentral lists this ribosomal RNA (462 nucleotides) under uncultured ammonia-oxidizing beta proteobacterium. Its description in RNAcentral is "bacterial SSU rRNA". It matches the Rfam family "Bacterial small subunit ribosomal RNA", at positions 202 to 647 of the family's 1533-position model. The record is from RNAcentral. Lineage: Bacteria; Pseudomonadati; Pseudomonadota; Betaproteobacteria.
AAGCAGGGGAUCGCAAGACCUUGCGCUUUUGGAGUGGCCGAUGCCUGAUUAGCUAGUUGGUAGGGUAAUGGCCUACCAAGGCAACGAUCAGUAGUUGGUCUGAGAGGACGACCAGCCACACUGGGACUGAGACACGGCCCAGACUCCUACGGGAGGCAGCAGUGGGGAAUUUUGGACAAUGGGCGAAAGCCUGAUCCAGCAAUGCCGCGUGAGUGAAGAAGGCCUUCGGGUUGUAAAGCUCUUUCAGUCGGGAAGAAAAGGUUGUGACUAAUAAUCACAAUUCAUGACGGUACCGACAGAAGAAGCACCGGCUAACUACGUGCCAGCAGCCGCGGUAAUACGUAGGGUGCGAGCGUUAAUCGGAAUUACUGGGCGUAAAGGGUGCGCAGGCGGCUCUGUAAGUCAGAUGUGAAAUCCCCGGGCUUAACCUGGGAAUUGCGUUUGAAACUACAAGACUAGAGU